This 515-nucleotide ribosomal RNA is filed under the name uncultured bacterium. Its description in RNAcentral is "partial 16S ribosomal RNA". It matches the Rfam family "Bacterial small subunit ribosomal RNA", at positions 28 to 523 of the family's 1533-position model. The record is from RNAcentral.
GAUGAACGCUGGCGGCGUGCCUAAUACAUGCAAGUCGAGCGAAUGGAUUAAGAGCUUGCUCUUAUGAAGUUAGCGGCGGACGGGUGAGUAACACGUGGGUAACCUGCCCAUAAGACUGGGAUAACUCCGGGAAACCGGGGCUAGUACCGGACAACAUUUUGAACCGCAUGGUUCGAAAUUGAAAGGCGGCUUCGGCUGUCACUUAUGGAUGGACCCGCGGCUCAUUAGCUAGUUGGUGAGGUAACGGCUCACCAAGGCAACGAUGCGUAGCCGACCUGAGAGGGUGAUCGGCCACACUGGGACUGAGACACGGCCCAGACUCCUACGGGAGGCAGCAGUAGGGAAUCUUCCGCAAUGGACGAAAGUCUGACGGAGCAACGCCGCGUGAGUGAUGAAGGCUUUCGGGUCGUAAAACUCUGUUGUUAGGGAAGAACAAGUGCUAGUUGAAUAAGCUGGCACCUUGACGGUAUCUAACCAGAAAGCCACGGCUAACUACGUGCCAGCCGCCGCGGUAA